UAAGACAUGCAAGUCGAACGGAAGUACGUUGUAAUGAUGUGGACAUGAACAGAGAACUAGUUCAAGGGAAUGGAAAUUGACUUACAACAAUGGCUUUAGUGGCGGACUGGUGAGUAACACGUAAGCAACCUGCCUAUCAGAGGGGAAUAACAACGAGAAAUCGUUGCUAAUACCGCAUAUGCCAUAGAGGAGACAUCUCCACAGUGGGAAAGGAGUAAUCCGCUGAUAGAUGGGCUUGCGUCUGAUUAGCUAGUUGGUGUGGUAACGGCAUACCAAGGCAACGAUCAGUAGCCGGACUGAGAGGUUCAACGGCCACAUUGGGACUGAGAUACGGCCCAGACUCCUACGGGAGGCAGCAGUCGGGAAUAUUGCGCAAUGGAGGAAACUCUGACGCCAGUGACGCCGCGUAUAGGAAGAAGGUUUUCGGAUUGUAAACUAUUGUCGAUGAGGAAGAAAAGGACAGUACUCAUCAAGAAAGCUCCGGCUAACUACGUGCCAGCCGCAGC
This 506-nucleotide ribosomal RNA is filed under the name uncultured bacterium. RNAcentral's name for it is "bacterial SSU rRNA". It matches the Rfam family "Bacterial small subunit ribosomal RNA", at positions 49 to 518 of the family's 1533-position model. The record is from RNAcentral.